GAGCGGCCGUCUUGAUGUGCUAGGCUAAUAGCUAAUGCAACGAGUUAAACCGUUAGCAUAGGAGCUAACAUCAGAGCACUAGCUCCGGUGCUGAUUGGCGCGAGAGAGACACACUACGACACACCACACAUUAAUGCUGAAGCCCUGAUCCGACAUUUUAAAGGUGCAUUGUGAGACAUUUGUUUGCUCCUUUGUUGCACAUAGAGCUGUAUUAUGUGUGUGUUUAGCACCUUAUUUGUGCAUUCUAAGCUCAUCCAGCCAUAUUUUAUUAGCUGUGCACAUUACAUGUUUUUCUUUCUAGAUGAUUGAUAUUGUUUUAUGUGCUAAUUACGAUGUAAAGAGCACAGGAUAUUUUGAUACUGUUGAUUUGGAGUGAGGAAGAUUAUUUCAAUAACAUAAUCUGAUAUUUUGAGUGUUGCUUAUUUUAUUACUGAACAUUGUGAUAGCAUGUUGCAACAGUAAUUGAGUAAAAUUGUUAUUCUCUA
Molecule: unclassified non-coding RNA, 485 nt
Filed under: Hevea brasiliensis (rubber tree)
Lineage: Eukaryota; Viridiplantae; Streptophyta; Magnoliopsida; Malpighiales; Euphorbiaceae
Source: RNAcentral